Molecule: ribosomal RNA, 253 nt
Filed under: uncultured bacterium
Lineage: Bacteria
Description: partial 16S ribosomal RNA
Rfam family: Bacterial small subunit ribosomal RNA
Source: RNAcentral
UACGUAGGUGGCAAGCGUUGUCCGGAUUUAUUGGGCGUAAAGCGAGCGCAGGCGGUGAUGUAAGUUUGAUGUGAAAGCCCCCGGCUCAACCGGGGGGGGUCAUUGGAAACUGGAUCACUUGAGUGCAGAAGAGGAGAGUGGAAUUCCAUGUGUAGCGGUGGAAUGCGUAGAUAUAUGGAGGAACACCAGUGGCGAAAGCGGCCCUCUGGUCUGUGACUGACGCUGAGGCUCGAAAGCGUGGGUAGCAAACAGG